This 173-nucleotide ribosomal RNA is filed under the name uncultured Arthrobacter sp. RNAcentral describes it as "partial 16S ribosomal RNA". It matches the Rfam family "Bacterial small subunit ribosomal RNA", at positions 340 to 525 of the family's 1533-position model. The record is from RNAcentral. Lineage: Bacteria; Bacillati; Actinomycetota; Actinomycetes; Micrococcales; Micrococcaceae.
UACGGGGGGCAGCAGUGGGGAAUAUUGCACAAUGGGCGAAAGCCUGAUGCAGCGACGCCGCGUGAGGGAUGACGGCCUUCGGGUUGUAAACCUCUUUCAGUAGGGAAGAAGCGAAAGUGACGGUACCUGCAGAAGAAGCGCCGGCUAACUACGUGCCAGCAGCCGCGGUAAUA